UGAGACAAUCGAGAUCCCUGU
RNAcentral lists this unclassified non-coding RNA (21 nucleotides) under Mus musculus (house mouse). RNAcentral describes it as "oocyte_clustered_small_RNA9333". Lineage: Eukaryota; Metazoa; Chordata; Mammalia; Rodentia; Muridae. The record is from RNAcentral.